This 77-nucleotide transfer RNA is filed under the name Candidatus Portnoybacteria bacterium CG10_big_fil_rev_8_21_14_0_10_44_7. Its description in RNAcentral is "tRNA-Ala". It matches the Rfam family "tRNA". Rfam says of the family: Transfer RNA (tRNA) molecules are approximately 80 nucleotides in length. Their secondary structure includes four short double-helical elements and three loops (D, anti-codon, and T loops). Lineage: Bacteria; Candidatus Portnoyibacteriota. The record is from RNAcentral.
GGGGCAGUAGCUCAGCUGGCCAGAGCACCACAUUUGCAAUGUGGGGGUCGCGGGUUCAAGUCCCGCCUGCUCCACCA